GGGCCUGUAGCAUAACUUGGAUAGUGCGGUGGGCUUCGGACCCAUUGAUCGGGGUUCAAAUCCUCGCAGGCCCG
Molecule: transfer RNA, 74 nt
Filed under: Candidatus Woesearchaeota archaeon
Lineage: Archaea; Nanobdellati; Candidatus Woesearchaeota
Description: tRNA-Arg
Rfam family: tRNA
About the family: Transfer RNA (tRNA) molecules are approximately 80 nucleotides in length. Their secondary structure includes four short double-helical elements and three loops (D, anti-codon, and T loops).
Source: RNAcentral